GCACAGAGCAAGCCGUGUUUGUUUGCGUGUUCCUCGCAUGUCAGACUUCAGCUCGCCUGAACACCGUCGCUUUCUCCACUGAGCCUGAUGACAUCAGCUGGUAAAUAUGCACCCUGGGAAAAUUAAAAAUAAAGGAGGGGGCGGAUGUAGAGAGAUGGGUAUAGAAAGAGAGAGACGGGGAGAGAGAUAAAGAGCGCGAAAGAGGGAGUGAGCGAGAGAGAGAGAGCGAGAGAGAGAGGAAAAAAGAGGGAGAGAGCUACAGAAAACCCUACAAUGCCAAGAGCCGAACCGACAGAAGAUUCUCCUCACCCGGCCUGGUCCUGAACCUCAGUUCACCAACAACACCCCCCCCCCCCCCCCCCCCGGGUCCCCGCCCCCGGGUCCCCGCCCCCAACACACACACUCCCCCAGCACACACUUCUACAUCACACACUUCUACAUCUGAAACAGCCGGACACAAGAAUAAUCAGACCAAUCAGACCUCACCAAAUUCUAACACUACAGAAACAAAACUACAUCACGUACUGGAAAACACACACACACACACACACACACACACACACACACACAUAGACACACACACACACACACAUAGACACACACACACACACACACACACACACACAUAGACACACACACACACACACACAUAGACACACACACACACAUACACAUAGACACACACACACACAUAGACACACACACACACACACACAAAGUGAAAUGCAUAAUAACAGUUCUACAUUCCUGUAAUGCUUUGGUAAUACUGUCCAUGUAUACAGUCAUGCUGCUAAAGCUUGUUAAAUGAAUUGAAUUAAAGAGAGAGAGAGAGGGAUAGAGAGAGGGAUAGAGAGAGGGAUAGAGAGAGAUAAAGAUAGGGAUAGAGAGAGAGAUAAAGAGAGAGAGAUAAAGAGAGGGAGAGAGAGAGAUAAAUAGAGAGGGAUAGAGAGAGAGAUAAAGAGAGGGAUAGAGAGAGAGGGAUAGAGAGAUAAAGAGAGGGAUAGAGAGAGAUAAAGAGAGGGAUAGAGAGAGAGAUAGAGAGAGAGAGGGAUAGAGAGAGAGAUAAAUAGAGAGGGAAAGAGAGGGAGAGAGAGAUAGAGAGAUAGAGAGAGAGAGAAAUUAAGAGAGGGAUGGAGAGAGAUAGAGAGGGAUAGAGAGAGAUAAAUAGAGAGGGAGAGAGAUAAAGAGAGUGAUAGAGAGAGAGAUAAAGAAAGGGAUAGAGAGAGAUAAAGAGAGGGAUAGAGAGAGAGGGAUAGAGAGAGAGGGAUAGAGAGAGAGAGAGGGAUGGAGAGAGAGAUAAAGAGAGGGAUAGAGAGGGAUGGAGAGAGAGAUAAAGAGAGGGAUAGAGAGAGAGGGAUAGAGAGAGAGAUUAAGAGAGGGAUGGAGAGAGAGAUAGAGAGAGAGGGAUAGAGAGAGAUAAAUAGAGAGGGAUAGAGAGAGAGAUAAAGAGAGGGAUAGAGAGAGAGAGGGAUAGAGAGAGAGAUAAAGAGAGGGAUAGAGAGAGAGAGAUAAAGAGAGGGAUAGAGAGAGAUAUAGAGAGAGAUAAAGAGAGGGAUAGAGAGGAUAUAGAGAGAGAUAAAGAGAGAGAUAGAGAGAGAGAGAGAUUAAGAGAGGGAUGGAGAGAGAGAUAGAGAGGGAUAGAGAGAGAGAUAAAGAGAGGGAUAGAGAGAGAGAGAUAAAGAGAGGGAUAGAGAGAGAUAUAGAGAGAGAUAAAGAGAGGGAUAGAGAGAGAUAGAGAGAGAGAGAGAUUAAGAGAGGGAUGGAGAGAGAGAUAGAGAGGGAUAGAGAGAGAGAUAAAGAGAGGGAUAGAGAGAGAGAGAUAAAGAGAGGGAUAGAGAGAGAGAGAGAGAGAGACGGAUAGAGAGAGAGAUAAAGAGGGAUAGAGAGGGAGAGGGAGAGGGAUGAGUAAUGAUUAUCAGCAAAUUGAUGAAUCAGUGUGAAUCUUUUCUGAUGUAUGAGAGGCGAGGAGGGUUCUGUAUGGGCGAUGAGGGUUCUGUAUGAGAGGCGAGGGUUCUGUAAGAGAGGUGAGGGUUCUGUAUGGGCGAUGAGGGUUCUGUAUGGGCGAUGAGGGUUCUGUAUGAGAGGCGAGGGUUCUGUAUGCGUGAUGAGGGUUCUGUAUGAGAGGCGAGGGUUCUGUAUGGGCGAUGAGGGUUCUGUAUGAGAGGCGAGGGUUCUGUAAGAGAGGUGAGGGUUCUGUAUGGGCGAUGAGGGUUCUGUAUGGGCGAUGAGGGUUCUGUAUGAGAGGCGAGGGUUCUGUAUGAGAGGCGAGGGUUCUGUAUGAGAGGCGAGGGUUCUGUAUGAGAGGCGAGGGUUCUGUAUGGGCGAUGAGGGUUCUGUAUGAGAGGCGAGG
This is a long non-coding RNA of Ictalurus punctatus (channel catfish), 2350 nucleotides long. The record is from Ensembl. NCBI's taxonomy places the organism in Eukaryota, Metazoa, Chordata, Actinopteri, Siluriformes, Ictaluridae.